This 549-nucleotide ribosomal RNA is filed under the name Craugastor aenigmaticus. RNAcentral describes it as "partial 16S large subunit ribosomal RNA". It matches the Rfam family "Bacterial large subunit ribosomal RNA", at positions 1817 to 2596 of the family's 2925-position model. The record is from RNAcentral. Lineage: Eukaryota; Metazoa; Chordata; Amphibia; Anura; Craugastoridae.
CGCCUCUUGCACUUUAUAAGAGGUCUAGCCUGCCCAGUGACUUUGUUCAACGGCCGCGGUAAACUAACCGUGCAAAGGUAGCACAAUCACUUGUCUCUUAAAUCGGGACCUGUAUGAAUGGCAUCACGAGGAUUUAACUGUCUCCCUUCAUCAAUCAGUGAAACUAAUCUCCCUGUGAAAAAGCAGGAGUAUAUAUACAAGACGAGAAGACCCUAUGGAGCUUAAAACUAAUAACACUUGCUCUUUAUUCUCUAUUCCAAAAUAAUUAUCUUAUAGCACCGUGAUUAUAAGUUUUUGGUUGGGGUGACCAUGGAAAAAAACUAAACUUCCAUGCUGCUUAUUAAAUUUAAGAACUUCAUUUCUAUAAAUCAACAAAUUGACAUAAUUGACCCAAACACUUGAUCAACGAACCAAGUUACCCUAGGGAUAACAGCGCCAUCCACUUCAAAAGCACAUAUUAACAAGUGGGCUUACGACCUCGAUGUUGGAUCAGGAUUUCCAAGUGGUGCAGCCGCUACUAAAGGUUUGUUUGUUCAACAAUUAAAAUCC